This 282-nucleotide unclassified non-coding RNA is filed under the name fungal sp. Its description in RNAcentral is "partial internal transcribed spacer region". The stretch from base 1 to 46 matches the Rfam family "Eukaryotic small subunit ribosomal RNA", at positions 1786 to 1831 of the family's 1831-position model. Lineage: Eukaryota; Fungi. The record is from RNAcentral.
AAGUCGUAACAAGGUUUCCGUAGGUGAACCUGCGGAAGGAUCAUUACCACGUAUCCACGUACCCACUCAACGUGCAUGGAAAUCUCCCUGAAGAUAAAUUUAUUUAUUUAUUUUUGGGCUAUUAUUUUCAUAUACAAACUUAUCUCACAAUUUGAACAACUUCUAUAAAAUAUUGCAAGUUGACUUAUUAUAUUGAAAGAUUUUUAUAAUUUUUCAUUUUCUUAUUUUAAUCGAUAGGAAUAUCAUACAGUACAACUCUUAGCAAUGGAUAUCUUGGCUCUC